CUGAUUUUGAAACCUGGAUCUGCAUCACCUUACCUCUCCAAAUAUUUCCCCUCCUGUGCCUCGCUCGCCAUCCUCCCUUGGCUAUAAGUCACAGUCUCUCCCCACCUCUUCUUCUCCCCCUGCCCCUGACCCCCUUUUGCCUACCUCCGGAGGUUGUCCCAUCUCUGGGCCAACCUAUGCUUUGGAACCCUUGCCAGUCUCUGAGGGGCAUAUUGUCCCUACCUCUCCCAUUUCUCUUCACGGUACCUUUGGUCCCUCCAUAUCCCACCCUUGGACCCCAAAGCCCUUGAGAACGCCACUUCCACUUUUCCCUCUCUCCUCUUUGAUCUAUUUUUUUAGCGUUCCUAGUCUUGGAUCCAUCACGGAUACUUAGUUCGUGGAUACCCCUUUUUUCCUUCUGUUGCUAAUGAAGCUGUUAAUUGUACAACUGCCAAGCCCCCUCCCCCUGAACCCACGGAGGCCCCUCCUGUGACUGAGGAUAUUCCUCACGUCUGCUUUCAAAGGGCCAAGUACUUUUUUAAUUUUGGUCCUGAAACCUUACCUGCAGAGUCUACCUCUCACCCCUUGUCUAAUGUCUUGCAUCCAACCACCAAAUUCAGUACUUCCAACCCUUCCUCUCUUCUCCCUUUGAAGAGAAAGAGAGCCCUAUCGAAGUAGGUGCGAAGGGUUUUAUUUCCUCGCUCUCUAAGGCUUUGCUAAGUCCAAAAACCCUACUACUCUGUUGAAGUAAGUUGAAGCUUUUCUUGGAGAGAGGGAAGAUCAAUCGAAGAUUACGCCUCAUAGCGCUACCAGUUCCCAUCUUAUCAUAGUUGAGGAUGAGGGGAUCCACGGAGGGUGGGAAGAGCAAACAAAACUAGACCAGGUAGAUGGCACAAGAUUUGCACCCCUAAAUCUGCUGAAGGAUUGGGUCUUAGGAACUCUGAAGCUCAGAACUAAGCUCUCCUCUUGAAACUUGGAUGGAGAGUUCUUUUUUAGGUUUAUUCUUUGUGGGUCAAGAUGCUUACAUCUAAAUACUUCCCUAAUAAAUCCAUUUCACCCUUCAACAAUGAAGAAAAAUGGACCUGUAUCGUGGAACAGAAUUGUAAGUAUUUUCCCUACUCUCUUUAUGAUGCUGAGGCGUAAAAUAGGUAAUGGUUGCAGUACUGAUUCCUGGAAUGACCCAUGGAUCCCUAAUACCCAUUGUUCCCUUGCUACUUUACAAAUCCAUCCCCCCCUUCCCCUUUCUUUCUGUAACGUUAACGAUGUGCUUAAUGGGAACUCUUGGAAUACCAGUCUUUUUUAAUCUUUUCUCCCAUUAUUUCUAGUAACUGAAAUUUAAAAAAUUCACUUAAGCUCUUAAUCUGAUAAUUAGUAGUGCGACCUUUCAAAAACAGGAGUCCUACAACUAAAUUGGCUACUAAAAUUUUGAAUUCUAGUAUGGCUACUAACCGAAUUGGAUUCUCCAAUAGGUGUACAUGUUUAUCUAUUUUAUUCACAUAGGUGGCGAUACUUUUGGAAACUCCAUAUACAUCCAAAAUUUAAGAUCUUCUUGACGAUACUUUUGAAAACUCCAUAUACGUCUAAAAUUUGAGUUCUUUUGGUGACUUUCCACAGAGGCAUUCCCACGAAGGAUUUAUUGAGAAAAUGGAUACAUGUCGAUCCCACUUCUUGUUUCUAUCACAACCAACCUUAGUCUUUGUGUCACAUCCUCCUCUCCUGCGAAUUCACCAAGGGUACUUGGGCACCUAGCCCUUUGGGUCUAUAUGUAUAGCUUCCUUGACUACUUCAUCUUUCCAAAAUUUAAUUAUGUAUUUUUUUAAUUCUAAAUAUGACCCUGGAAAUACUCUAAAUAAUUUUUUUCUCCACUUUCAUUAUUAUUUGUUAUUUUAUAAGGUCUCAUCGGAAUGAAGGGUACAAAGUAGAUUGGGCCCCAUCCAUUUGGUUUACAGGGAACAUCCUAAGACAUUCCUUCACUACUUGGAGAUGUCUUGAGGAUGCAUUGCCAAGUAAAGAUAACCUUAUGAAGAGGAAUAUUGGGGUCAGUAGCAACUGUGUUUUGUGUUGGCAGGUCUUGAGAGUAGGUACCAUCUAUUUUUCCAAUGUCCUUUUACUUCUUCUAUUUUGAGGAAGAUUAUGGCAUUAUGUUCUCAAAGUGGGACUCAAUCUCUAGCCAUUUCUAGCAUUGUAUUGUGGAUAAAAUAUGAGUUUCAUGAUGAAGAUGAUUUGAAGGUUAUUGGAA
Molecule: long non-coding RNA, 2218 nt
Organism: Macadamia integrifolia
Lineage: Eukaryota; Viridiplantae; Streptophyta; Magnoliopsida; Proteales; Proteaceae
Exons: 2
Source: RefSeq, a predicted model, not a curated record